UCAGUAGGGGGUCUGAGAGGACGAUCAGCCACACUGGGACUGAGACACGGCCCAGACUCCUACGGGAGGCAGCAGUAAGGGAUAUUGCGCAAUGGGCGAAAGCCUGACGCAGCAACACCGCGUGGAGGAUGAAGGCCUUCGGGUCGUAAACUCGUUUUGACGCUGACGAGGAAGGACGGUAGGCGUCGAAGAAGUCACGGCUAACUACGUGCCAGCAGCCGCGGUAAAACGUAGGUGGCGAGCGUUAUCCGGAUUUACUGGGCGUAAAGGGUGUGCAGGCGGGCCAUUAAGUGGUGUAUGAAAUAUCCCGGCUCAACCGGGAGAGGUUAUGCCAGACUGGUGGUCUAGAGAGCGAGAGAGGGACGUGGAAUUCCGGGUGUAGUGGUGAAAUGCGUAGAGAUCCGGAGGAACCCCAGAGGCGAAGGCGGCGUCCUGGCUCGCAUCUGACGCUCAGACACGACAGCAUGGGGAGCGAACGGGAUUAGAAACCCCGGUAGUCCAUGCCGUAAACGAUGCCAACUAGGCGCUGGCGGUCUCAACCCCGUCGGUGCCGCAGUUAACACGAUAAGUUGGCCGCCUGGGGAGUACGGUCGCAAGGCUAAAACUCAAAGGAAUUGACG
Molecule: ribosomal RNA, 620 nt
Filed under: uncultured bacterium
Lineage: Bacteria
Description: SSU rRNA
Rfam family: Bacterial small subunit ribosomal RNA
Source: RNAcentral